RNAcentral lists this long non-coding RNA (1632 nucleotides) under Coturnix japonica (Japanese quail). Its description in RNAcentral is "lncRNA (ENSCJPG00005005571.1)". The record is from RNAcentral. Lineage: Eukaryota; Metazoa; Chordata; Aves; Galliformes; Phasianidae.
UGUUUCCUUGUUUGCAUUUUUAGCGAGAUAAGGAGAGGAGAAGUUUCACAGAGGCUUAAUUCAGCUGCGGGGGAGUCUUCCUUUGUGUGCCAAGUCCUGGUGAUUCCUGGUGGGCACAGACACUCUGAAGACCUCUGCAGAAAUGCCACCUUUGCAGCUUGGCUUCCUCCUUGUGCUCAGUUGGCUGGGAGCUGGUGCAGCUCCUGCUGGGACAUACCUGGUAAGACAAACUCUGAGUUUGAAAUAUGUCUUUGCUUGCAAAGUAUGUUUGGGUUACUCGUCAGUGUGAUUCCUCCUGGUAGCAGUGCAGUGAUGGAAAUCAAUUGCCACAAACCAAUGUCUGCACUUUAUGAGGUGGGCUAACUGUCCUUCCUUGUCCCUCAGUGUUGGGUGUAGUGGGUGGGGAUGGUUUCUCCAGGUCUUUGCAGGACUUCAGUGCACACACAUCAUCAGGCAGUACAAGGAGGGUGACAUCCACUGACCACACUCAGAUCCUGGGAGCAGUCCAUCCCAUUGGUUCUAAUACCUGAGUGACUUUCCAGCUGGUUGGAGUACAGAGCCAAUACUGAUCUCAGUUUUGCAGAUGGAAGUUCCCAAGCAUAGCAGGGGAGAAGCCCUUGGUGUAGGUACUUGGGUGUUUCAAGCCAGAUUCAAGUAUGAAUUUGUUGUACGUCCAUACUUCUCUGUAUGAAAUGAUCACAAAUAACACUGUACUACCAUUGUAACUGCAGAAUGUGGUUCUCUCUUUUCUCUCUCUCUCCUUGCUCAGUGCUCCAGCCCCGCUCUCAAUGGUGAGUCUCCUACCCAGUAAUUUCCCUAAGAUUCAAAGGUGAUUCUUUAUACGUAUUCCUGUCACACUUCUUUUCUCUCUCUUUUUUGGGAAAACAGAAACUGCUGUGUGUGCUUCAGUGAGAAGGUACGUGAACCAUCAGCAAAUGAUUUUGGUGACGUUUCCCUUGGAAGUGCUGCUGUUCUGUUGGGGACGUUGCUUUGGGUGGUGGGCAGCCUCUGAAACCAGAGGUAGCACCUCUCUCCCUGCAGAGGUCUGGGGAUGCCUGUGGGCAGGGAGGGCCCUGGUUUUGCUCUGCUGAAUAGUGAAGGGAAAAUGGGACUCUGUGCUGUGCAAAGAAAGGGGUAAAUCCCUGGUGUGUCAGCCAGCCAGCCUGACAUGGGCAGGAUUUACUGCUCCAGGGAUCCUUGUGUUGGUGCUGAGCCUGGCUUAGCUGGUGAUGGGGGCCUGAAAUGCAUACAGUGCUUCAAGCCUUGCAUUCAUUUGAUUUCCACCUAAGGGUAAGCAGUUUAUAAGUACAUUCUUCCUGUGCCAGCAGAUAAUUCUCAUCAUUUGAGUUGUUUGUUUGCCCUUCUGCAUUUGUUAUUUGGGCUGUGUGAGCUGUGAGCAUCCUUUGAAAAAGAGGGAAGAUCAGAAUCACUGCCUAUCAGAUUGUCAGCUUCUCCUCCUGGUGUCCCACUUGCAGCCUCCCAGACAGAUUUAUUUGCUACCUGAGCCCCUCUACAGUGAGUAACCUGAGCAGGGAUGAUACUUUGAGCUUGGACCAGAGGAUCAGUAAGAGCUGCACCUUGAACACAACGCUUGGAAGAAUAAAAGGAAAAGGAGCUGCCUCCUCCCUGACA